RNAcentral lists this long non-coding RNA (1235 nucleotides) under Equus caballus (horse). Its description in RNAcentral is "lncRNA (ENSECAG00000055326.1)". The record is from RNAcentral. Lineage: Eukaryota; Metazoa; Chordata; Mammalia; Perissodactyla; Equidae.
CAGUUAGCACGUCUGGCUGGCGGGGCCGGGCCUUCAUUAAUUCAUUACAGCAGGCUCCUGCUGGCCCAUUAUCUUCUUUACCGCUGACCACGUCUCCUCUUGGGCCUGCAGACUCCCCCUUUCUCCCCUUCUCCUUAGUUCCAAGCAGUGACUGGUUAAAUCACAUCCAUCCUCUUCCCGGCCUCCCCAGCCUCCAAGGAGCCUCCCCUGAGGCUAUCUCGGAGAGGGAAUCUCACCAGUGCAGGAAUUCUCAGCUCACCACCUCCUCUGCCUGCCACCCAGUAUCUUCUGCCCUGCAUCUCCCAAGUCAGCCAGCCAGCCUUCAAAGUCAGAAACUCCAGUUCCACUUCUGACUUUGCCACUGAUCCUUUGGGAUGACUCAGGUAGCAAAAGCCAGGAGGACCCCACACACAACUCAACAAAUUGUCUUCCGCCGGUGGAUUUCUUUUCAAUUCUUCCUAACUUACCAGAGGCCGGGAAAAGCCAGGCUUCCCCUUGGAGUUUCCCUAAGAGCCUCAGAUCCCAGCCCACUUCGGAGGCAUCUCCUUCAUCUCAGCUCCAACCUUCUGGUGAAGAAGAGUCCAACUCCUUAAACGGGACACCUUGCUGGAGAAGGAGCGAAGUUGGCAGCGCGGAGGAAAACUGCAAAGUGCGGAGGCCUUAGACGGAAAGACAGCCAUCUGGGAACCUGGAGGGGAAGGAAGUCGCGAGUUGCGCUCGGGGCGCCGGAGAAUAGGGGAACAGAAAAUGGAGAAGUGACACCUAGGGAGAAGAGGGUGUGGAGCGGAGGUGACGGAGACGGCGGCGACUUAGCACUGGCAGGCGGCUCAGAAAAGGACGAGGACUUGUCGAGAAAGCGCGAUAGAUAAUCAUUUGGCGUGGCUUCUAACUACGUUCUCACUGCAAGCACACUUUUUACUUGUGUGUCUACUUAAGGAGCUGGUGGGGGUUAUGGAGGUUAAAGUCCUCCCAAAGCCACCCCACUGGAGGGAGUGGCACGAUGCGCUUAAGGAUUCGGAGAGAAGGGGACAGAAACGGAGGGGGACGGAGAUCCUCGCGAGAGAAGGGAGCAGAGGAAGAAGGAGAUGGGAAGAGAAGCAAGCCAAACUUGCCGCUCGCCCCUCCCAGGCCAGCCCAGCGUCUCCAGUCCCCAGCCACCGCGCCCUGGCGCGCGCUCUCUCGCUCGCGUACCUGUUGCUCGCUCCGGCUGGGUCUCGGCUCCGGCCCCACCAAGA